ACGGUAAUAUGGGCGAACGCUGAGCAGCCACGUCGCGUGAUGAUGAAGGCCCUAUGGGUGGUAAACUGCUUUUAUACGGGGAUAAAAUGAGGGACUGUCAAUUUUUGUAGGUACCCUAUGAAUAAGGACCCGCUGUUUAAUGCCAGCAGCCGCGGUAAUAAGUAA
Molecule: ribosomal RNA, 165 nt
Filed under: uncultured bacterium
Lineage: Bacteria
Description: partial 16S ribosomal RNA
Source: RNAcentral